UGAAGGAAGUCCCUGUGGUGCCCGCUGAAGAGGACAUGAAGGCAGGGUUCAUCAUUUAACUACAAGUUUGAUCAACAGGAGCAGUUUGUGGUUCUUGCAGAAGCCAAACUGACAAAGGGAACCUGCUAAACGAGUUAGCCUUGAGUUACUGAUCAGAUGCUUUGGGGAAAGGAAGUUCUACAGGCAAGACUAUUGAAACAACUGAUGUACCGGUGUUAAGCAAGGUCUGUGACCAAAUUUCAUUUCCACUUAACUGUAGUGUGUUUGC
This is a long non-coding RNA of Ficedula albicollis (Collared flycatcher), 268 nucleotides long. RefSeq lists it as uncharacterized. The record is from RefSeq and is a predicted model, not a curated record. Lineage: Eukaryota; Metazoa; Chordata; Aves; Passeriformes; Muscicapidae. The transcript is spliced from 3 exons.